This 549-nucleotide ribosomal RNA is filed under the name uncultured Glomus. RNAcentral describes it as "SSU rRNA". It matches the Rfam family "Eukaryotic small subunit ribosomal RNA", at positions 548 to 1098 of the family's 1831-position model. The record is from RNAcentral. Lineage: Eukaryota; Fungi; Glomeromycota; Glomeromycetes; Glomerales; Glomeraceae.
UUGGAGGGCAAGUCUGGUGCCAGCAGCCGCGGUAAUUCCAGCUCCAAUAGCGUAUAUUAAAGUUGUUGCAGUUAAAAAGCUCGUAGUUGAAUUUCGGGGUUAGUAGGUUGGUCGUGCCUCAGGUAUGUACUGAUCUCACUGAUUCCUCCUUCCUGAUGAACCGUAAUGCCAUUAAUUUGGUGUUGCGGGGAAUCUGGACUGUUACUUUGAAAAAAUUAGAGUGUUUAAAGCAGGCUAACGCUUGAAUACAUUAGCAUGGAAUAAUGAAAUAGGACGUUCGAUCCUAUUUUGUUGGUUUCUAGGAUUGACGUAAUGAUUAAUAGGGAUAGUUGGGGGCAUUAGUAUUCAAUUGUCAGAGGUGAAAUUCUUGGAUUUAUUGAAGACUAACUACUGCGAAAGCAUUUGCCAAGGAUGUUUUCAUUAAUCAAGAACGAAAGUUGGGGGAUCGAAGACGAUCAGAUACCGUCGUAGUCUUAACCAUAAACUAUGCCGACUAGGGAUCGGAUGAUGUUAAUUUUUUAAUGACUCAUUCGGCGCCUUACGGGAAAC